RNAcentral lists this long non-coding RNA (574 nucleotides) under Mastacembelus armatus (zig-zag eel). RNAcentral describes it as "lncRNA (ENSMAMG00000025674.1)". The record is from RNAcentral. Lineage: Eukaryota; Metazoa; Chordata; Actinopteri; Synbranchiformes; Mastacembelidae.
UUCAAGACUAGUCUGGGCUUGCUUCUUGGUGGAUUCUGAGAAAAUUGCGCCUUUUUCUUAUUUUCAAGAAGUAAAUUGGGUCUUUUCUGCAAUUUACCUUCUCCUUUGAUGAACAUGUUUUCUGCCUGGGAGUUAUCUGCAGUAACAUGCUGUUGAAAAAAAUGAUGAGCCUGACAUUAGCCAGAUGGUCCGACACUGGCCAGCCCUUUUCACAGAAAGCCAGGUUUACUUGGAGUUUAACAGGGUUGUUGGAAGAAACCUUAAAGAGGAAUUCUUUGGUGUGCUUGAUGGCUUGUGUCCAAGCUUGAUGGAAAUUUUCAAGAUGAAGACAUGUCAGAUAGGACCUACUACUAGUUGGGUAUUUCAAAGUGAUUGUGAGAGAAAAUGUCUGCAGCAAAAAGGAAGAAUAUACUGUAGUAACUGGUGGAAAAAAACACACAAAACAUUUUGAUAAUUUGAUAACCAGUUCUUACUGUUUUUGGUUUAAAGCUUGUGUUUGAAAACUGGUUUUAGAUCUCAGAGUUUAUGAAGAGCAUCAUUAUCAGUGAUAUUUGUUGCUUUGUUGUGUUUCAAU